UCUAGAAUUCAUGGGCUGCCUAACGUGACCAUUCUUGGAUAAUAUUGUUCAGUGAAGUUGGAUAGGUUGGGUAGAAACGCUGUUGCAUCCAUCCUUGGUAUCAUCAAAUGCCAUAUAGAAUGAAAAGUCAUGUACAUUUUUUCAUUUCUUUUCCAGCAAAGGAAUGUUGUAAUAAGUUAAGAACUGAUGCCUAUGGAUAAAUUAAAUGUUUCCUGGUUCUCUACAUUUCAUUGCUAGUUUCGAAGGAACAUAUCCUUUGAGGUCCUGGCACCAUGAGAUCACACAAGUUCAGGCUGAGAGGACAAUAGCAUACACAAUUGUACCUAAUCUUAUUUUUUGUUUUGUUAAUAUUGGAUCUUGUAUCCAUUCUUCAAAGAUAACGAUAUACAAGAUCCAAUAUUAAC
This 404-nucleotide unclassified non-coding RNA is filed under the name Hevea brasiliensis (rubber tree). Lineage: Eukaryota; Viridiplantae; Streptophyta; Magnoliopsida; Malpighiales; Euphorbiaceae. The record is from RNAcentral.